RNAcentral lists this ribosomal RNA (256 nucleotides) under uncultured bacterium. RNAcentral describes it as "partial 16S ribosomal RNA". It matches the Rfam family "Bacterial small subunit ribosomal RNA", at positions 524 to 776 of the family's 1533-position model. The record is from RNAcentral.
UACGGGGGGGAGCAAGCGUUUGUUCGGAUUUACUGGGCGUAAAGGGCGCGUAGGCGGCGCGGUAAGUCACUUGUGAAAUCUCUGAGCUUAACUCAGAACGGCCAAGUGAUACUGCAGUGCUAGAGUGUGGAAGGGGGCAAUCGGAAUUCUUGGUGUAGCGGUGAAAUGCGUAGAUAUCAAGAGGAACACCUGAGGUGAAGACGGGUUGCUGGGCCAACACUGACGCUGAGGCGCGAAAGCCAGGGGAGCAAACGGG